RNAcentral lists this long non-coding RNA (3922 nucleotides) under Homo sapiens (human). Its description in RNAcentral is "HSALNT0317197". The record is from RNAcentral. Lineage: Eukaryota; Metazoa; Chordata; Mammalia; Primates; Hominidae.
GAUACUCAGGGCACACAGCAUAUAGAGUAUUCUUGUUCCGCAAAAAACAGUACCUCUGCUGCUGCUGUACACUCUGCUGCUUCAGAGUCGCUGUUUAACACUGUGGGUUCACCCUUGAAUUCUUCCUGGAUGAAGCCAAGAACCCUCCUGGGCUAAGCCUCAAUUUUGGGGCUUGCCUGUCCUGCGUCAGCAUGAGUACGGACUUUGGGGUUACAAAUAGGUGCAUUUGCAAAUAUGGAAUCCACGAAUGAUGAAGAUAGACUAUCACUGGGUACCACCGGAAUUCUCUGACCUGAUAACUUCAUAUGCAAAUCCUGGCUGAUGAUGAAGGUUUAAGAAGCAGCAUCAUCAGCGAACUGUGUUUUGAAGAUUUGAGGGAAGGGCUGACCUCAGGAUUUUAUACUAGUUGCUGACCUCCAUAACAGCAGACAAAAUUGGAAGCAAGAGUGAUUUUGGAGGAGUCACACUUAGAUGUUUCCCUUACCUAUUUCUGUUCUGGAAAUUUAAAAAUCUUACUUCUCGUGACAGUCCUACAUGAAAAAUUAAAAAUCACAAGGAUUCAUGGAUGGAAAACUGAGACUCAGAGAAUGAUCACAUUCACAUCGUAAUAAAUCAGCAAUAGAGUGAGUGAUUGUUCCUUGGUAAGAAAUCAACUCUAAACUCAGUUGGAAACCUUUGCCAAUAUUACUUAACACAUGACAAUCUGGUGUGACUCAUUUUUCUUGACAUUAUGCAAAUAAAGGAAACAAGACUGAGUGGCCUUCUGUCCGGAGAGCAGGAAAUGAAGGCUGUCUGGGGCCACAUGUUUCCUGGGACAUGUGGUGUCAGAAAUGGGUACUAGAAGAACCAGGCCUUUGUUCAUGUCUUUUAUUUUUUAUUUUUGUUUUUUUUUAGAUGGAGUCUCACUCUGUCGCCCAGGCUGAAGUGCAGUGGCACUGUCUCGGCUCAUUGCGACCUCCGCCUCACCGGUUCAAGCAAUUCUCCUGCCUCAGCCUCCCGAGUAGCUGGGAUUAUAGGCGCCCGCCACUACACCCAGCUAAUUUUUGUAUUUUUAGUAGAGACAUGGUUUCACCAUGUUAGCCAGGCUGGUCUAGAACUCAUGACCUCGUGAUCCACCCGCCUCCGCCUCCCAAAGUGCUGGGAUUACAGGCGUGAGCCACGGUGCCUGGCUGCCAUUGUUCAUUUCUAUUUCAUGAGUGAUCGGCUCUUGUUGGCCAUGGCUGGAGGAGUCAGCUCCCAAAAUCCACACUCUCUAGGAGUGCUGAACCAUAAAUAAUCUAUCAGGACUCCUAGAUUCCACUCUCUAGAGCUGCAACCAGAAGUUCCUUCCUUCCCGGCCCUGCUUCCCACUAAAGGAAACAUUUGACUUUUGGGGAUGAGAUGUUUCAAGCCAGCCAAUCCUUCUCACAGGAAGCAGAACCCCAGCCACCAUGGAGCUUAUCCUUGGGGCGCAGAGAAACACUGACCUAAUGCUGUAAUCAAGUACUGGAUUUUAUUUUUAAAUCUUUUUACCUCACAAGCUGACUUUAUUCUGGCUAGAGGGCUCCUGAACCUCUGUAAACUCCCCAGGAGGUAAUUUCCAGUGCUAAUCUCGCUAACGAGGUGUCAGUUACAGAAAUGGCCCACGCCCUGGUUUCUUCUAAGUGGACAUUACAGUGUUUCUUCAGAGGGGCCUGUGCUGGGACACCUCGGAAAUGGAAGAAUUUAUAGCAAGGAUGUUAUUUCUCACUAAGUGAGCAGAAGAGCUGGAAGAUCUCUUUAGAGAUCAUUAGAAGGAUGGGGAAACUGAGGCUCAGAGAAGGGCAGUGGCUGCCCGAGGCCACAGAGCUGAGUGGCAGCAGGGUUGGGUUAGAGACUGGACCUUGUGGCGGAGCUGGCCUGCUUUGGGCUGUUCCACACACCACUGACUUUCUAGAUUGUUUCAUGUUCAUGGAAUCAUCCUCAAACUCUACUCCCCAAAAUUGUACCAUAGAUUAACUUCGGGCACCCCCCAAGUCAAAACUUCAACAGCUAAGGGACACGGAUCAUGCGGCCUGCUGAACACGCCAUCAAGUGGGGCAAAGUCUUCUUUCUUUGUGAUCAGGGUAUGCACUCUCCCUUGGCCUCUGAAUAAGCUGUACCCAGGGUUCCUCGAUGACUCAGCUGCAGCAGGCUAUCCACCACACAUGUCCGUGGCCACCACGGCGGGAACCGGGCUCACCAUCACUUACCACUAGAGAUGUCAAACCACCCCCCUCCUAACCCAGGCCCCACUGCGGCCUCCCUGCCCUGCUCCAGCCUCGGUCUGUUGUGCAAGAGCCAGAGGGGACUUACGAUCACGGAGCCACACGCCCAGGCCCAACCCAGGCCCAGGAGCUCCACCCUAGGGAAACGCCUAAGUCAGAACAGAGCACUCCUAACCCCCCGGGGCAAGGAGGGGAGGCCAGGCAGCCGGAAGGAAACUCCUGAGCUUUUUACGGAAUGCACAAGACAAAAGCACGCUUGCUUUCCAUUAAGCGGAUCCUUUGUGCUGAAACAGAUUUGCAGUCCUGCCAAACCAGACGAUGCUGCUGGCAGGAAGAUGCACAUGGUCUGAUGUUAAUGCAAGAGUGAGAAAACCUCUGUGGCACAGUCAUGGGAGUCCACACAACCUCCCUGGAAAUGGCAAGGAGUUAUAAUUUCCAUUUUACAGAUGAAAAAUGAAAAAGAGGAGAAGGGGAUGCCAUUUGCUCAAGGCUGCUGGAACGCUAGGCUGGCUCUGGGACUAUCACGAAAAGUUUCUAACCCCCCGCCACGGCUCUUCUCACAACACAAGAAUGAGCUCAGAGAGGUUAAUGAACCUGCCAAAGACCCCAGCUGAGAGACUGAGUUGGUUUGCAGAUUCCAAAGCCCACAUUCAUUCCAUUUUAUCUCAUCUUUAGUGGACUUUGAACAUGCCUCAGCCUUCACCUUGACCCUUGGUGAAGGUGCUGAGAACCAAGACCCAGUGCAGCGGUGUCUCUGGAACCUCCUGGAGCUCAGCAGCCGACUCCCAAACCUGGAGGUCCUCACUCUGCACCCUGUGCUCUGCCCUCUGGCUGAUCCUCAGCAUUCCCAGGCAGCCUGGCUCCCUGUAAAGUUGUUUAAACUUCUGUUUAUCAUCAUCUUCCAUCAUUUCUAAUUGUUUUCCUGUGUCCCUUUCUUUUGUAGAGGAUAUAAACUCAGCAUUUUAGCUUUUGAAAUAGAUUUGCUGUGCAGUUUCAUGGCUCUUUAGUGGCUUAAAAUGUAUUGUUCUGUGAGUCUUUCUGUGCCCGUCACAGCAUUCACUGUGGGAAGCAGCAGGACGCCAGCGAUGCUGAUGUUUAUUUGAUUUUAGGGGACUUUAAGGCAUUCCUGGGACCAUACGGAUUCUAAAUAUUCUGCCUCAUUGUCUUCAGAAGCUACUAAAAUAUCCUAGAAAUGAUCAUGUUUCAGCAUGUAAGCUACAUAUUUCACGUUACCUCUUGUAUCCAUCCAUACAUAGCCUCUAUCAAGAGCCUGGCAUAAGCCAAUGUAAUGGUUCUGAAAUGGUAACCACAUGGUUCUUCAAUCACUAAAACCCUUUCCACUCUGAGAUUGGACAUUCAUUGCUAUUUUCUGCCAGGGCUUUGAUUUACAAGACUGUCUAUGAGUUCUGUGUUUAAUAUACAGAACUGGCUGCCCUCAAUGCAUGAGACUUCCUGGUAUUUUUUUCAUGUGAUUAGAUGGAUUACAUUUGUUUCAUAUUUAUUGUUUAGAUAUACAAGUAAUCCUCACUUUGCACAGUGUCAUGUCUGCAUAUUGAAACCCUAUACUCACUUUGUGCAAUCCUUUGGUAAGUGCAAAGUGAGAACACAGGUCUGAUAUGUACAAGUUUCAGUGAACAUGGUACUAUGCAUCAUGAAGACUAUCUGAAGUUGCUUUCAAAUAAAAUUUGGAUAAGGAC